RNAcentral lists this ribosomal RNA (484 nucleotides) under uncultured bacterium. Its description in RNAcentral is "partial 16S ribosomal RNA". It matches the Rfam family "Bacterial small subunit ribosomal RNA", at positions 30 to 507 of the family's 1533-position model. The record is from RNAcentral.
AUUGAACGCUGGCGGCAGGCCUAACACAUGCAAGUCGAGCGGAUGAAGGGAGCUUGCUCCUGGAUUCAGCGGCGGACGGGUGAGUAAUGCCUAGGAAUCUGCCUGGUAGUGGGGGAUAACGUCCGGAAACGGGCGCUAAUACCGCAUACGUCCUGAGGGAGAAAGUGGGGGAUCUUCGGACCUCACGCUAUCAGAUGAGCCUAGGUCGGAUUAGCUAGUUGGUGGGGUAAAGGCCUACCAAGGCGACGAUCCGUAACUGGUCUGAGAGGAUGAUCAGUCACACUGGAACUGAGACACGGUCCAGACUCCUACGGGAGGCAGAAGUGGGGAUUAUUGGACAAUGGGCGGAAGCCUGAUCCAGCCAUGCCGCGUGUGUGAAGAAGGUCUUCGGAUUGUAAAGCACUUUAAGUUGGGAGGAAGGGCAGUAAGUUAAUACCUUGCUGUUUUGACGUUACCAACAGAAUAAGCACCGGCUAACUUCGUG